UCAGAAAGCAUCGUACCUUCGUGGACAAUGCCUUUCCAUAAGAAAAGGAAUUUAUGAAUUCCUACAAGAAGAUGAUACCAAGAGUUGAGAGGAAAAGAAGGAAUAUAAAGCACAGAUGAGAUCGUACAACCUUUGGGAAGACUAAUCAUGUAACCAACAUUGAAGCCACAGACCAUAUACAUCAGGUUGAAGUCAAUACUUCUAUAUCCAAUUUCCAACCGAAGAAGAGAUCUUGCACAUACUUCAUGGCUCGGCUCCAGGCUUUCCCCAGUCAGAGACCGUCCAAGAUUGCAGGACCAUGUUGGCUUUGAGCUAUUCACCGUCAAAUAGCCAGCACUUUGGAGCUGUAUUGUGCAGCUUCAGGGGUUUGACUCAACCCACUGGAUCUUUAAUCAGCUCAAGCCCUCCAAAUGAGAUCUUCAAGGAUGAUCUAACUCAACACCCAUUCUUAGCAGGAAGUAGUUUCAGAAGAUGAGAUCAUCGCCCCAU
Molecule: long non-coding RNA, 489 nt
Organism: Antechinus flavipes (yellow-footed antechinus)
Lineage: Eukaryota; Metazoa; Chordata; Mammalia; Dasyuromorphia; Dasyuridae
Exons: 4
Source: RefSeq, a predicted model, not a curated record